This 344-nucleotide ribosomal RNA is filed under the name uncultured bacterium. Its description in RNAcentral is "bacterial SSU rRNA". It matches the Rfam family "Bacterial small subunit ribosomal RNA", at positions 1 to 334 of the family's 1533-position model. The record is from RNAcentral.
AGAGACGAGUCAGAGUUUGAUCCUGGCUCAGGACGAACGCUGGCGGCGUGCUUAACACAUGCAAGUCGAGCGGGGACAUGGAGGAGCUUGCUCUGAGAUGUUCUAGCGGCGGACGGGUGAGUAACGCGUGAGCAACCUUUCUCUCAGUGGGGAAUAACACAGGGAAACUUGUACUAAUACCGCAUGGGACCACGACCUGGCAUCUGGUUGGGGUGAAAGAUUUAUCGCUGAGAGGUGGGCUCGCGUCCGAUUAGGUAGUUGGUGAGGUAACGGCCCACCAAGCCGACGAUCGGUAGCCGACCUGAGAGGGUGAUCGGCCACAUUGGGACUGAGACACGGCCCAA